AUACGGAGGGUGCAAGCGUUAUCCGGAUUUAUUGGGUUUAAAGGGUCCGUAGGCGGAUCUGUAAGUCAGUGGUGAAAUCUCAUAGCUUAACUAUGAAACUGCCAUUGAUACUGCAGGUCUUGAGUAAGGUAGAAGUAGCUGGAAUAAGUAGUGUAGCGGUGAAAUGCAUAGAUAUUACUUAGAACACCAAUUGCGAAGGCAGGUUACUAUGUCUUAACUGACGCUGAUGGACGAAAGCGUGCGGAGCGAACAGGAUUAGAAACCCCAGUAGUCC
This 274-nucleotide ribosomal RNA is filed under the name uncultured bacterium. Its description in RNAcentral is "partial 16S ribosomal RNA". It matches the Rfam family "Bacterial small subunit ribosomal RNA", at positions 523 to 796 of the family's 1533-position model. The record is from RNAcentral.